This is a long non-coding RNA of Saccostrea cuccullata (small rock oyster), 1327 nucleotides long. RefSeq lists it as uncharacterized. The record is from RefSeq and is a predicted model, not a curated record. The transcript has 3 exons. NCBI's taxonomy places the organism in Eukaryota, Metazoa, Mollusca, Bivalvia, Ostreida, Ostreidae.
AAGAAUAAAUUCAUUUUCUUUUCAUUUUAAAUCUUUUGGGCUUGGCUUACUUCUUGAGUAAAAUUAAAAUAAUUCCGUAUUUGUCUCCGGGCCGGUUUUGUCUUUUAUCGGAUGAAAAUGUACGUCAUUUUUGACGUCACUGCUGAAGCAGACGUGCUUGGUGUAUUGGAAAGGUAAGUGAUCUCCAAACAAUUUUUUAACGACUUUUAAUUCAUAUUGUUUAAAUAUCAUUUCAUUAUAGUUACAGGUGCGUAUGAACUUUCUAUGUACAUGUAAUACUCCUAUCAUUGUGACUUGUCAUGCAUUUCGUAAACCUAACGAUAGUGAUCUGUAAGUAAUUUUGGAGAAAAAUGUUUCUGAAUGAAUGUAAGCGGUUACAUGUUAGGCUAAAGGCAUAACUAUUUUUUAUAAUUUGUAUACAGGUAAGUAAUUUUGGAUAAAUUUGUUUCUGAAUGAACGUAAGUAUUACAUGUUAGGCUAUUUUUUAAAGGCAUUAGGCCCAAUUGGUUUUCCUUUUGUUACGUACUGAUAUGAAAGUGAAAGUAGAAACCUUGAAACCAUUGUGACUGUCAGUUGGUGUUUAUGUAUGUUGAAAUGGCUGUCAAGUCGAUUCUUUCAUCAACUUAAUAACAAGUGUUUGUUUUUAUGGCCUAUAGAUGCAUGCAGUAACUUGAGUUCAGUGUCACAGUGCUGCGUCUAAAAAGCCCAAAGCUGAUAAGACUGGCGAUUGAUUCUAAAGCUGAUUUGACAGAUGAUUGCAUCAUCGCAAUAUUAAAGGUUCAAUAUUCAGUCAGCGUCUCAUAAGAAUAAAUCCCAAGAUCCAAGACUUGCUUAAAAGCUUAAUUAAGAGACCAUUCUGUGCCACAAAGAAAUUGUUCAGGAAAGGGAGAAAUGGUGGAUUUGCAUUUUGGGUACAGUUCAAACAGAGUUCAAAAAGGUCAAACUCAUGGAACAACUGAAGAAAACUGAAAGAUACAGAAGGAAAAAGAACAAGAAAAUAUAUGAAAUAAUUAUGAAAUUGGCAGGAUGUACACAAUCUUGUCUGCAUUUGACCUGUAAAGAUUUAAUUCCCAUUCUUAUUUGUAUGCUGUAAUAUCAAAUAACUUGAUUUUUCAUAAAUUUACAAUAGAGAAUACAUGACAAAUGUUAUAUUUCAAUUUUGAUUUGGUGUCAUUUCCUGUCAAAUCAUAUUUAUAAACAAGUACAUGGACUAAUUAUGUUAUUCAUUUGUACAUGUAUGCAUGUUUAACUAUUUAAUCAUUUUGUGGAAAUCUUAUAAUUUGUACUCAACUUAGAAUAUGUAAAAUACAUGUAUCGACAAAUGCUA